RNAcentral lists this ribosomal RNA (219 nucleotides) under uncultured prokaryote. RNAcentral's name for it is "partial 16S ribosomal RNA". It matches the Rfam family "Bacterial small subunit ribosomal RNA", at positions 524 to 742 of the family's 1533-position model. The record is from RNAcentral.
UACGUAGGUGGCAAGCGUUGUCCGGAUUUAUUGGGUUUAAAGGGUGCGUAGGCGGUUUUAUAAGUCAGUGGUGAAAUACGGCAGCUUAACUGUCGAGGUGCCAUUGAUACUGUAGAACUUGAGUACAGACGAGGUAGGCGGAAUUGACGGUGUAGCGGUGAAAUGCUUAGAUAUCGGAAAGAACACCAAGGGCGAAGGCACUCUGCUGGGCCGAAACUG